This 301-nucleotide ribosomal RNA is filed under the name uncultured bacterium. Its description in RNAcentral is "partial 16S ribosomal RNA". It matches the Rfam family "Bacterial small subunit ribosomal RNA", at positions 509 to 807 of the family's 1533-position model. The record is from RNAcentral.
CAGUAGCCGCGGUAAUACGGAGGGAGCUAGCGUUGUUCGGAAUUACUGGGCGUAAAGCGCGCGUAGGCGGUUACUCAAGUCAGAGGUGAAAGCCCGGGGCUCAACCCCGGAACUGCCUUUGAAACUAGGUGACUAGAAUCUUGGGGAGGUCAGUGGAAUUCCGAGUGUAGAGGUGAAAUUCGUAGAUAUUCGGAAGAACACCAGUGGCGAAGGCGACUGACUGGACAAGUAUUGACGCUGAGGUGCGAAAGCGUGGGGAGCAAACAGGAUUAGAUACCCGGGUAGUCCCUGUCUCUUAUAC